ACCGUGAUAGCUCAGAUGGUAGAGCAUCUGCCCAGUACGCGGAGGGUCGCCGGUUCGAUUCCGGCCCGCGGCG
RNAcentral lists this transfer RNA (73 nucleotides) under Fasciola gigantica. It matches the Rfam family "tRNA". Rfam says of the family: Transfer RNA (tRNA) molecules are approximately 80 nucleotides in length. Their secondary structure includes four short double-helical elements and three loops (D, anti-codon, and T loops). The record is from Rfam by way of RNAcentral. Lineage: Eukaryota; Metazoa; Platyhelminthes; Trematoda; Plagiorchiida; Fasciolidae.